Molecule: small nucleolar RNA, 83 nt
Organism: Capsella rubella
Lineage: Eukaryota; Viridiplantae; Streptophyta; Magnoliopsida; Brassicales; Brassicaceae
Rfam family: Small nucleolar RNA snoR110
Source: Rfam
GCUAAAUUUAGUGCAGCCUUGUUACUUUUAGUUUUCUCCUUUUGUAUGUAAGGAGUCUUCUUUUAUCUUGGCGGCAGAAACUU